RNAcentral lists this non-coding RNA (30 nucleotides) under Mus musculus (house mouse). Lineage: Eukaryota; Metazoa; Chordata; Mammalia; Rodentia; Muridae. The record is from RNAcentral.
UGUACUUGACCCUUCUUGAAAGACCCGGGA